This 600-nucleotide ribosomal RNA is filed under the name uncultured bacterium. RNAcentral describes it as "bacterial SSU rRNA". It matches the Rfam family "Bacterial small subunit ribosomal RNA", at positions 724 to 1329 of the family's 1533-position model. The record is from RNAcentral.
GCGCACGAGGCCUUUACUGACGCUAAAGCUCGAAGGUGCGGGUAUCGAACAGGAUUAGAUACCCUGGUAGUCCGCACGGUAAACGAUGGAUGCCCGCUGUUUGCGAUACACUGUGAGCGGCCAAGCGAAAGCGUUAAGCAUCCCACCUGGGGAGUACGCCGGCAACGGUGAAACUCAAAGGAAUUGACGGGGGCCCGCACAAGCGGAGGAACAUGUGGUUUAAUUCGAUGAUACGCGAGGAACCUUACCCGGGCUUGAACUGCCGGCGAACGAUACAGAGAUGUUGAGGCCCUUCGGGGCGCCGGCGGAGGUGCUGCAUGGUUGUCGUCAGCUCGUGCCGUGAGGUGUCGGCUUAAGUGCCAUAACGAGCGCAACCCCUCUCCGUAGUUGCCAUCGGGUGAUGCCGGGCACUCUGCGGACACUGCCACCGUAAGGUGUGAGGAAGGUGGGGAUGACGUCAAAUCAGCACGGCCCUUACGUCCGGGGCUACACACGUUUACAAUGGGUGGUACAGAGGGCAGGCGUCCGGCAACGUCCGUCUAAUCCCGAAAGCCAUCCUCAGUUCGGACUGGGGUCUGCAACCCGACCCCACGAAGCUGG